Camellia sinensis is the source of this 733-nucleotide non-coding RNA. The record is from RefSeq and is a predicted model, not a curated record. Lineage: Eukaryota; Viridiplantae; Streptophyta; Magnoliopsida; Ericales; Theaceae.
UUCUCUCUCUCUUCAGCGUUUCACCCUCUCCCUCUCCCUCUCCCUCUCCCUCUCCGCUGCUUCUCUCCCCUCCCUCUCUCACCGUCGCUGGCCACCGUCCGUCCCCAUCGUCGCAUGUUGCCACCGCCAUCGCUGAAAUCACCACCAACACUACCACAAAUCACAGGGCAGCACAAACUUGGAGGCCAUUCAGAUUAUUAAGAAGCCUGGAGGAUCACUAAAGGAUUCAUUUUUAGAUGAGGGACUCGUGUGCUCAAAGUGGAGAUACACUGUGAUGGGUGUAGGCAGAAAGUGAAGAAACUUCUUCAGAGGAUUGAAGGUUCUCACUUGACCAUGAAUUACUUAGCUAACUCUCCCUUCUCUGUUUUCUAGUUUAUUUUUCCCCAUUACUAGUUCUCUCUAUUUUUCAUCUCUUUAACUGUGUUUGAAGAGUGGUGUUUUGGUUAAUUUGUCCAUUGAUAUUCCUUACUCUGGACCUCAAUGACGUGGGUUUUGUGUGAAAUGGAUAAAUUUUAACAAUGUGCUAUGGUUAGGGCAUUCAAAUUCUUUUGCUUAAUUAUUUGAUUUUGAUAUGAUAUAAGAUAGAAGUGCAGUGCCCUUUUAAGCAAUAGAUUGGAAAGAUGAAAAGCAUUUUGCGGCCAAUCACUCACUAAUUGAAGUCUAAAAUUUGACCUUUGGUGUUUUUUUUUUUUUUUUUUUGGAAAGAGCAACAGAAAGUCACACUUUCAGGAAC